RNAcentral lists this long non-coding RNA (1447 nucleotides) under Macaca fascicularis (crab-eating macaque). RNAcentral describes it as "lncRNA (ENSMFAG00000056394.1)". The record is from RNAcentral. Lineage: Eukaryota; Metazoa; Chordata; Mammalia; Primates; Cercopithecidae.
UUUUUUGUUUGUUUUUUUUUUUUUUUUGGAGACAGGAUCUCACUCUGUCACCCAGGCUGUCACCCAGUGGCACGAUCUUGGCUGGAGUGCAGUGGCACAAACUCCACCUUCUGGGUUGAAGUGAUUCUCCUGUCUCAGCCUCCCGAGUAGUUGGGACUACAGGUGUGUGUCAUCACACCUGGCUAAUUUUUGUAUCUUUAGUAGAGCCAGGGUUUCACUACGUUGGUCUCAUCUCAAACACCUAGCCUUAAGCCAUCUGCCUGUCUCAGCCUCCCAAAGUGUUGGGAUUACAGACAUGAGCCACUGCAUCCAACCAGGGUGUACUCUUAGCAAGCAGCAGAGUGACGACUGGAAUGCAUGAUGUAAUCCCUUGCUACUUUUCUGGUUUGAUAUCCUUACCAGGCCAUCUCUUGGUGAUCCCAUUGAACUUCUGGCUCUUCCUCUCAAAGCCAAGCAUGCUCUCUGCUAGUCCUGAGUGCGCUCUUUCCUCUGUUGGACUCCCCUUGCCUCUGAUAACUGUGUGGGUUUCUCCUUCCCUUCAACCCUUGAACAGGUCUCUGUUCAAAUAUCCUUUUUCAGUGAGGUCUUUAACUCUCCUAUCUAGAAUGGCAUCCUUAGCCCUUAUUGAUCUUUAUCUCCAGCAGCCUGCCUCAUUUUUCCUUUUAGUUUAGCAGCUAUUUAUUUUGGCCUGGACCUCUUUUUUUUUUUUUUUUUAGAGAUAAGGUCUUGCUCUGUUGCCCAGGCUAUGGCUCAAUCAUGGCUCAUUGCAGCCUUGAAUUCCUGGACUCAAGCAAUUCUCCUGCCUCAGCCUCCUAAGUACCUGAAACUACACCUGUGUGCCACUACACCCAGCUAAUUAUUUUACUUUUUGUAGAGAUGGAGGUCUCGCUAUGCUGCCCAGUCUUGUCUUAAACUCCUGGCCUCAAGCAGUCUUUCUGCCUCAGCCACCCAAAGUGCUGGGAUUAUAGGCAUGAGCCCUAAUGCCUAGCCCAUGGACCUCUCUUCUGAACUCCAAGCUGUGAUAACCAAUUUCCAACUUGACAUAUCCACUUGGCUGUCUAUAAACUUCCUCAAAUUUACCAUAAACUUCCAAAAAUGAGCCCUGAUCUUCCUCCCACCUUCCUUCAAUCUGUUAUUCUUGCAGUCUUCUUUAUUUCAAUGAAUGGGACCUCUAGUCUUCUAAUCUCUCAGAGUAAAAGCUUAGGGUCACCUUUCACUUCUCUUCUUUUCUCUCUUCUCCUGCCCAACCUGUCAGGAAAUCCUGUUUUCUACCCUCAACUUAGAUCCCAGCUCCAAACACUUCUCACUGCCUCCAUGGGGUUACCCCGUCCUCCUCACCAUCACUGCUUCUCACCGAGAUUAUUGUGAUAAUUUCCUCACUGAUCUCCCUGCUUCUGCUCUAGGUUUCUUCAGCUUAUUCUCUGCAUAGCAGUCAAAGUGAUCUUGU